AGACAGAGGUGGCGAGCGUUGUUCGGAAUUAUUGGGCGUAAAGCGCGCGUAGGCGGUUGGGUUAGUCCUAUGUGAAAUCCCCCUGCUCAACAGGGGAACGUCGUAGGUGACUGCCCGGCUAGAGGAUGGGAGAGGAGAGCGGAAUUCCCGGUGGAGCGGUGAAAUGCGUAGAUAUCGGGAGGAAGGCCGGUGGCGAAGGCGGCUCUCUGGAACAUUCCUGACGCUGAGGUGCGAAAGCGUGGGUAGCAAACAGGAUUAGAAACCCCGGUAGUCC
RNAcentral lists this ribosomal RNA (274 nucleotides) under uncultured bacterium. RNAcentral describes it as "partial 16S ribosomal RNA". It matches the Rfam family "Bacterial small subunit ribosomal RNA", at positions 523 to 796 of the family's 1533-position model. The record is from RNAcentral.